UUUUCCUUGAAGUAGAUUACCUAAAUAUUUGUCAAUAUACCCACAGGGAUGUUGUAUUGGUGAAAUACAACUUAUCAGUAUGCUAUGAUUCAUGUAGUAGCUGCACCUGUAAUUAAAUAAAAUUUAAUUGAAGAAUUAUUGUAAUUAAAAUCGAAUUCAAAUUAAUUAUAAUAUAAGUACACCAUAAAUUAUAUUUAUGUACUUACUGCAAAAUUAAAUGAGAAUAAUUGUGAAAACAAUUCUUUAACAACACCACACUGAAGUGCAAUACUGUAAGUAAAAAUUAAAGACAUACUUACCUAUACAUUACAAUCACCAUUUCCAGAAAAAAUUUAAUUAAUAGGUAAACUGUUUUAACUUAAGACAAAUUUCAACUAUUUUUGAAUUUGUAAAAUGGGGAUUAUAGUAUAUUAACAUCCAUUUUUAGGGUUAUUCAUGGCACAUUUUAACUGAUAUUGGUGUGUGUCAGGAUGGCGGGUAUACAUGCUUUAUUUAAAUACUAGGUGUGAGUGAAAAUCCUUUCCCGCUUCGAAAGUCCCUAAAACACUGUAGUGAUUCAUAGCGCCAUCUAUACGAUACCAUGAUCAUCUAUUUAAAAAUCAGAUUAAAAGAUACAUUAUUUCCCAUACGAGAAAAUGAUCAGAGAAUAAAAAGCUUAUGUGUUAAUCCAGGACUGGCCUAUCCAUGUACUAAAUUUCAUCCAAAUCCAUUCAGCUGUUUCUGCAUUUACUUCUAACAAGCAUCCAAACACAAACUCACAUUUAUACUAGUUAGAUGAUUAAUUAAAAGCAUAACUUUGCCAAAACUAUAGAAAUAAAUUUUAAAAGAAAACCUUUUACAAGAAAGCGUCUGACAGAUUAUUAUCCUUCUCAUUUUUAUCUUAGUAAUUGCUAGCAAAAAUAUAAUGCGCUUAAAAUGGCACAAAUGGUUUGUACAUUUUAUAAAAUUAACAAUCCUUACUGCGAAUCGAUGGAAAAAAUGUACCAAUAGAAAUAUGUUAACGUCAAUUGUCAAAAAAACUAUUCUGGUGGGUAAAUAUUCGCUGUUAAUCCAAGUAUUUAGUACAUACAUUCCAUAAAUCUUAAAGUUUUCAUCACAGAGCGAACGGGGCGGGACGGCGAACCUCGGCUGUGGGGACGUGACCAGUUGCAAUAUACUAGUUAGUAUGGAAUAUGUCACGUAGUCUUGACGCUUGACACUAUUCUCACAGAAUCGAGCGCCAUCCCGCCCUGUCCGAUACAUUGUUUAACGAAAGCUUAAUAGUACGGAACGCA
Long non-coding RNA from Manduca sexta (tobacco hornworm), 1274 nucleotides. RefSeq lists it as uncharacterized. NCBI's taxonomy places the organism in Eukaryota, Metazoa, Arthropoda, Insecta, Lepidoptera, Sphingidae. The record is from RefSeq and is a predicted model, not a curated record. The transcript has 2 exons.